RNAcentral lists this microRNA precursor (96 nucleotides) under Schmidtea mediterranea. Its description in RNAcentral is "microRNA sme-mir-61b precursor". Its record names the gene sme-mir-61b. The record is from miRBase by way of RNAcentral. Lineage: Eukaryota; Metazoa; Platyhelminthes; Tricladida; Dugesiidae.
CAAAGCGGCGAUUACACAGAAGAUCGUGUCGUUCUAGAUUACAUGGAUAUAUGUGACUAGAAUGUUCACCUUCUUUAGUAGAAUCCGCGAUCAUCU